GCUGGAGUGGUGGAAUGGCAUACACGCCGGUCUCAAAAACCGGUGGGGUUACACCCGUGUGGGUUCAACUCCCACCUCCAGCA
Molecule: transfer RNA, 83 nt
Filed under: Candidatus Omnitrophota bacterium
Lineage: Bacteria; Pseudomonadati; Candidatus Omnitrophota
Description: tRNA-Leu
Rfam family: tRNA
About the family: Transfer RNA (tRNA) molecules are approximately 80 nucleotides in length. Their secondary structure includes four short double-helical elements and three loops (D, anti-codon, and T loops).
Source: RNAcentral